GUUUACUCAAAAACUUCCAUCAAAAUAAGAAACUUCAGAAACGAAAACGAAGUGCGCAAAUACAAUUUCUUUGUCCACAAAAGUAGAAGAUCCAACAAAAAUUGAUAAUACGUGCACUGUAUAUUGUUACCUAAUUGAAUGUAAGUAAUGAGGAAGAAUCUUGGUCAGACAUGGAAAAACAAAAAAAACCUGAUUUUGGUUAGAAGGCACUGGAGAGAUUUUCCAAAUUUCCUAAGUAAUUAGGGUUAUCAAUCCAUUUGGGGGUGGUGACAGUAGGGUAGGUUAUAAGCGCAUUGUAUAUGGUGGUCGGCGCAAUCCACCAAAACUAAAAGUAGCGAACCGGAC
RNAcentral lists this long non-coding RNA (345 nucleotides) under Olea europaea (common olive). Its description in RNAcentral is "long non-coding RNA (OEUR_LNC004361)". The record is from RNAcentral. Lineage: Eukaryota; Viridiplantae; Streptophyta; Magnoliopsida; Lamiales; Oleaceae.